AAGUUUCUUUUCGUAUAUCAGUCUUGUUGGAUGAAGCGCUUAUUAUUGCGUUAUGGGAACGAAAUGUGUUUAAUGGAUGCCACUUAUCGCACAUGUAGGUAUGCACUACCGUUGUUUUUCUUAUGUGUCCGAUCAAAUGUUUGUUACAUCGUUGUUGCUGUCUUCAUAUCCCAAAA
Molecule: long non-coding RNA, 176 nt
Organism: Xenia sp. Carnegie-2017
Lineage: Eukaryota; Metazoa; Cnidaria; Anthozoa; Malacalcyonacea; Xeniidae
Exons: 2
Source: RefSeq, a predicted model, not a curated record